RNAcentral lists this unclassified non-coding RNA (2175 nucleotides) under Ooceraea biroi (clonal raider ant). Its description in RNAcentral is "microtubule-associated proteins 1A/1B light chain 3A, transcript variant X1". Lineage: Eukaryota; Metazoa; Arthropoda; Insecta; Hymenoptera; Formicidae. The record is from RNAcentral.
ACGUCGAUACGUCGAACUAACCCUGUCCGAUCCGAAGCGCACACGGCAGUGACGGUAUUGCAGUGUGUGCACGCUAGCGUUAUUUUGACCCGUCCACUGGCUGACCGCGGACGGUUGAUAGUGGUACGCCGUUACGUCGUAGUAGGUGAUAGUAGUAACGUCAUGAUGAACACGAAUCUGACGCCUAAGAAAUCCUUCAAGGAGAGACGUACGUUCGAGCAACGUGCGGCUGAUGCGGACGAAAUUAGACAAAGAAAUCCAAAUAGGAUUCCCAUCAUCGUGGAACGUUAUAAGCUGGAAAACCAGCUGCCGCUGCUGGACAAGAAUAAAUUUUUGGUACCAGAUUUCCUAACUGUCGCAGAAUUGUGUAAAAUAGUCAGACGUCGACUGCAGCUGAAUCCAACGCAGGCAAUUUUCUUGCUGGUGAACCAGAAAAGUAUUGUGAGCGGUAGCCUGACGAUGGCCGAGCUCUAUCAGAAUGAGAGGGAUGCGGACGGUUUCCUUUACGUUGUGUUUGCCAGUCAGGAUGUAUUCGGUGGUCAUUAGUUGCAGCACAAUAACACUAACCAACCAAGUAAAAACGAAAUACCUCCUUGGCACUUAACAAUACUUUGAUAGAUAUUUACGUGGAAUUUUGUGGGGAUUCUAGAUCUGCUAGCAACUCUAUCUGCCUUCAAUUAAAUGUGCAGAGUCUUUGUGAUCAACUGACGGUACCUGCUGGAAUAGUUAACGGAACAAUCACAUUUGGAGUCUAUGUAUAAAAUCAUCGCGGUGCUUUCUGUCUUUGACAUAUGGAUGAAUUAUGUCUGAUAUAAGUUAAUGUAACAUCCACUUACUAGUAAUAGUGAUAGUUUAUUGUUAAUUUUAAUGGUGGUAGGAUACGUACGUGGUAAUAAGGUGCGGACACGAUAUGUUACACACAAAUCCUUUCUUUUAAUAAGUAAGAUGGCGAUUGCGGACGGUGUUUCCUGUUUUUCUCUGAUCAUCACACGUUUACCUUCGUGAAAGAACUCGUCAUUAUAAGCCUUGACUAUCGUUCGCGUUCAAGUAGAUUAAUCAUUCCGUCGAUGUUUUCAAUUGAUGUGUCAUACUUUUAUACGUUGUUCGACCAUCGUUAGCUCCCUCGAGAGACUACAUUACUAAUAUAAAGUAUCUCUUUUUAUACGGUAAUAAUAUCCUCGUUAAGUAUUAUUUUUACCACACAAUGCUAAGCCAUUGACAAAAGUGUUCAUGUACAUAACGAUAUGCAGCGUGCAGUGUACGAUGAUGCGCGUUAAAUUCUCGCGAAAUUACGUUAAGUUUUACACAGGAUAUAAAAUCGAUCUCUGUCAAGCCUGUGACACGCAAGAUUAUUAAUUAAGUACUAAUUUUAACUGAUAAAUUGUUGUUCGGAGCAAUGUUUUAAAGUAAUUCGACACGAAGUAUUCAGUUCUCUAGAGAACUCGUGCAAUAAGCUAACGAACACGUAGACAUGUAUUAUUACGGGACGAGCAAGGAAAUCAGAACAACUGCGAAAAUUUCAGAAACCUUUUAAAUAUUCUAAAACUAGAGAAUCACAUGUUUGUACAUUGAUACAUAGGGGUUUUAAGCUUUAAAUUCAUCUGAUACCAAUUCAUAUAUACAAAUAUUGUCCUACCUGUUCGAUGUAAUGAUCACGUUUGUGUAAAUAUUCACUAAUCUAUUUUAAUCUUACAGUGGGCUGUAUCAGAUGCAGUUUUAAGCAUAGAACAUAUUUCUAAUAGUCAAAUUUUGUAGUAAUACUGUAAUAAUAUGUUAUUGCAGCUUUUAUGCAGCUUGAUUUUGUACAUGAUGAGCAUGAAUCAAUCUUUACGUAUAAUCGACGCAACGCAGCCAUUUGUACAACGGAAAACGGAACAUUUGUUUGACGAGACUUCGAAUACAUAAUAAAAUUAAAUCGUUUCAGUUGCACUUUCUUAAGCUUCUUACGCUUAAGAUGAAAUAGGUGUAUAUCCGAGCUUUGGAGAGAGAAAAGAGACAAGGAAUAAGACGUAGAAAGUGCAAUUAAAACGAACAGAUUUACAGUUAAUAAAGACGGUAGUGAUACUAGCAGUAGUAGUCACGGUAAUGUUUAGUGACAAAGCUUUCGUAAUAAGCAUAUAGAAAGCUGUAUUUAUCCCGAUGCGAUGUAUUUGCAAUAAAGAAAAUUUUUUCAUA